UGUUAUUCUUGUUAAUAUACAUUUGGUGAUGGACAUUCAACGUUGGGUAUUCAUUACUCAUGCUGCAGUGUGGGGAUCAAUAAUUAUCACUUGUGCUUGUAUGGUGGUAUUGGAUUCUAUACCUAUCUUACCAAAUUACUGGACAAUCUACCAUGUGGCAAAGUCACCCACCUAUUGGCUCACCAUUUUGCUUAUAAUAAUUGUGGCUUUACUCCUCGCUUUCUUCGCAAAGUUAUACAUCAGAAUUUUUGGCAUUCAGAUAUUCAAAUAGCCAGAGAAGCAAAGAUUCUAAGAAAAGUGACUCCUAAUUUGAGGGACAGAUGAAGAUUCCAGUUAACAUGUACAUUACACCCUGUUUUGAAAUGGUUACUCAAGUCUAUCCGUCAUAUGACUGUCCUGUGGCAUGCAAUUGUAAUUUAUGGUAAGCACAUACUCCAA
This is a long non-coding RNA of Hibiscus syriacus, 438 nucleotides long. RefSeq lists it as uncharacterized. The record is from RefSeq and is a predicted model, not a curated record. The transcript has 2 exons. Lineage: Eukaryota; Viridiplantae; Streptophyta; Magnoliopsida; Malvales; Malvaceae.